This 429-nucleotide ribosomal RNA is filed under the name Bacteroidota bacterium. RNAcentral's name for it is "Bacteroidetes bacterium partial 16S ribosomal RNA". It matches the Rfam family "Bacterial small subunit ribosomal RNA", at positions 355 to 776 of the family's 1533-position model. Lineage: Bacteria; Pseudomonadati; Bacteroidota. The record is from RNAcentral.
UAGGGAAUCUUCCGCAAUGGACGCAAGUCUGACGGAGCAACGCCGCGUGAGUGAAGAAGGAUUUCGGAUCGUAAAGCUCUGUUGUUAAGGAAGAACGAGUGUGAGAAUGGAAAGUUCAUACUGUGACGGUACUUAACCAGAAAGGGACGGCUAACUACGUGCCAGCAGCCGCGGUAAUACGUAGGUCCCGAGCGUUGUCCGGAUUUAUUGGGCGUAAAGCGAGCGCAGGCGGUUAGAAAAGUCUGAAGUGAAAGGCAGUGGCUCAACCAUUGUAGGCUUUGGAAACUGUUUAACUUGUGUGCAGAAGGGGGGAGGGGAAUUCCAUGUGUAGCGGUGAAAUGCGUAGAUAUAUGGAGGAACACCGGUGGCGAAAGCGGCUAUCUGGUCAGUAACUGACACUGAGGCUAGAAAGCGUGGGGAGCGAACAGG